GAAAGGCAACAUGAGAGAAAACCUGUCUCCUAAGGAAUGCCAAUGAAAUUGAACUGCCAGUUCAAAAGCUGGUAUAAAAAAGCAAGACAAAAAGACCCUGUGGAACUUUAAUUAACUGCUUUACAUAAUAAAACCAGUAAUUUCAGUUGGGACAACUUUAGAAAAAAUAAACUUCCUAAUUUUACUAGACUAACUAGUCCAAAACAACCAUGACCCAGUAGUACUGAUUAACGAAACAAGCUACCCCAGGGAUAACAGCGCUACCUUCUCAAAGAGUUCAUAUCAACAAGAAGAUCUACGACCUCGAUGUUGGAUCAGGGUACCCAGACGGUGCAGCAGCUGUCAAUGGUUCGUUUGUUCAACGAUUAAUACCCU
This 375-nucleotide ribosomal RNA is filed under the name Furcifer lateralis (carpet chameleon). RNAcentral's name for it is "partial 16S ribosomal RNA". It matches the Rfam family "Bacterial large subunit ribosomal RNA", at positions 1994 to 2597 of the family's 2925-position model. Lineage: Eukaryota; Metazoa; Chordata; Lepidosauria; Squamata; Chamaeleonidae. The record is from RNAcentral.